GCUAUGCGCAAUUCGUGUAGGAUGAGAACCUGCUGCAGGUUCGAGUCGAACGAAGUGAGACAACGGAGCCGCUUGCGGCGACGGCCCGCAGGGCGAGCGAAGCGAGUCAUCCUGCACGACCCACCA
This 126-nucleotide small RNA is filed under the name Enterobacter sp. JUb54. RNAcentral's name for it is "RtT sRNA". It matches the Rfam family "RtT RNA". From Rfam's summary of the family: This family represents a bacterial cis-regulatory element known as RtT RNA. The exact function of RtT is unknown although it is thought that it may be involved in changing the cellular response in relation to amino acid starvation. RNAcentral also lists the same sequence under 2 other names. Lineage: Bacteria; Pseudomonadati; Pseudomonadota; Gammaproteobacteria; Enterobacterales; Enterobacteriaceae. The record is from RNAcentral.